Non-coding RNA from Arachis ipaensis, 2566 nucleotides. NCBI's taxonomy places the organism in Eukaryota, Viridiplantae, Streptophyta, Magnoliopsida, Fabales, Fabaceae. The record is from RefSeq and is a predicted model, not a curated record.
GUGAAUUUUUUAAUUUCCCUCUUAACUUUUUACAGGUGUAAGCACACACACUCUGUAAGCUCACACUUAGUGAAAAUUUUCUUUCCAUAGCUCAGAAGUCACCCUUUAAGAGAAAACCCUCCAAGUCCAAAACACGAAGAAAACCCUUUCAGAAAACCCUCAGAAGGCACCGCGCGAAGCUCGUGAAGCCUCACCAUCGCGAAGAUCAUCGCACCCCAGUCCCCACUCACCACUCAGCGCCACACCGUCGUGAAGAUCGUGAAGCUCACAUCGUCGUGAACCCUCCUGCACUGAUCGUCACGCGCCGCCCAUACCAUCGUUGAUCUCUGCGCUUCUCGUCGUCCUCUCUGUGCUUACAUCAUCGAUUAGGUUUCGGUUCAGCCUUUUAUAUUAAAAUCCCAGUUGUAUAGCAGUGUAAAGGACAGAACGCAGGUGGACAGGGAAUUGGAGUCUCUAAGGAGAGACAAAGUUCUGCGUAUUUUCAAAUUAAAUACUGGACAAGAUGAUUAUGCUAUAAUGUUUUUGGAUGACUACAUAAAGCAGAUAGAUCAAGUUUUUAAAAGAAUGGAAGGAAAGAAAGAAAUGGAAUAUGAAGUUUUUGGGUGGUUCAAAAAUUAUGUUCUGGAUUCGAAGCUGGAAACUGGCAUUGAACAUUGGAAUUUACUGAAUCAAUUUCUAUAAUUAGCGAAGUGUGCUUCUUGAUGCAAUGUUCACUCUUGUCACUUGGGGGGAAGGUGAAGGACAGCCACAUCAGCCACAUCACACUUGAUGUCUAUAUGCCUUUUUACUUGGCUAGCUACUCUUUUGCUCUGAUUUCAAACCUGCUAGAACCAACAGAAUGUGUCAGUAUUCUUGCAGUUUUUUCCCCUCCAUUUUCUUGCAACACAGAUAAAGGAUUGGUUCGCAUUGGUGGUGACGCCCACUAGGGAACUGGCGUUCCAGCUAGCAGAGCAGUUCCGCUUAACUGAGAUAAUUAGCAAUUCCAAACAGCCAUCUGAAUGGCAUCCAAAGAGCCACUGGUGAUCUCUAACAAGGACGCGAUGAGGAAAUGGUCAAGGGCCAUGAUUUUAACAUUAAAAUUGUUGGUUCUGAUAUCACACGUGAGAAUGAUGGCUUGGCAAUGAGUUCGCGUAAUGUGCGCCUUUCUACAAAAGACAGGCUAAAUCUAUGAUUUUAUUUUAUUCAGAUAUGUAUAUUUUAAUUAGUUCAUGGUAGUCAUGGUAUUUAAUAUGAAGCACUUGUUAUGAUAGUAAUGAUAAUUGUAACGCUGAGCCUAUAAAGUCUUUAUAACUAAAACUAACAAAACUUUUUUCCCCCGUUCCAUCUGUUGCAGGCACUAUCCAUAAAUAAAUCUUUGUUAAAAGCUAAAUCAGCAGCAGCAGAUGGUCAGGUGCAUUGUGAGAAGUUGAAAAACUUAGUGGUCCAAUGUAUUACUAAGGCUGGUGGACAGAUUGAUUAUGCUGAGAUGAGUUCUUGUGUUCAAUUAAUUUGGAUUAUUUAAUGAGAUAAUCUCUAUAGUUUAAUUACAUAUUCAACUUCAAAAAUAUUCAAUCUCAGUUAAUAUAUUAUUAGAUAUUUACAAGUGAUGUGCAAUAUGAUUAUUGCUAAAGAUAUCCUAGUUGUAUAAUUGGUCAGGGAAAUUGGAUUUGCUUUUAUUGCUGUUGUCCUUAUUCUUUCUAUGGGUGGUCCUGGGAGUUCAUUGGACGAUUUAACAUGAUUAUGGUUAUAAAUAUUAUUAUAAAUAACAAUGUUGGACAAAUUUUGAAUAUAAAUAACUUUUUGAGACAUUUCAUACUUGGAUUAUAUAUUUCUCAUAUGCAUGUAGUGGAACAAAAUUGUCUUUGCGGUACACGUAUAUAGAGGGAGUAACGCAAACUGAAAGAAUACAUCACCAACGCUCUGCUAUUAAUCCUGAGCACUUGGGACUGAUUUAAUCUUUCUAACAAGUUAUAAUAGGUAAAAGAAAGUAAGAAUGCAAGGUUAGAGUGAGUGAAAAGCUAGGAAUCAAUUUUUGACCUCUCAAAACCCGAGGUUACAUGUUGCAGAAUAUGCAGUUUCGAGCAGCAAUUUGUGAACAAAACUGGGAGCAAUCUAGCCACUCAAAAUGAGUGAAAUUAUUUUUUUAUGAAACCUUAAGAUGUAUAGAUUAUUCCUCUAAAAUUUCAGAAUUUUUCAAUGUGUGGUUUGGGAGAUAUGAUUUUUAGAAAAUGGUCAUUUUUUGCAGAAACAAUGCUGUGCGAAUUCGGGAACAGCAACUUCAAAACUGCAUAUCUCAAUACUCUGAAACUCUUUGGAGGAUAAUAUUGAAGAUGAUAAUGAAGAUUAAGCUGUUUAUCAUUGUGGUUUAUGGGUUAAGAUGGAGUAAUGUUGAGAAUGAAUACAUGUAUGGUAGACUAAUUACUUUUAUUAGAUGAUACUUAUAUAGAAUAUAAUAUUUUAGUUUUCCGUAGAGUAUUAGUAGUAAAUUCUAAGUGGUCUUAUGCCUAUUUUGAUAUGGCUAUGUUUAAUUUAGUGUGAGAUGUAUGAAUAUUAGUACUUUUGGAUCAUUAUAAAUAUAUUUUAUUUA